Molecule: ribosomal RNA, 301 nt
Filed under: uncultured bacterium
Lineage: Bacteria
Description: partial 16S ribosomal RNA
Rfam family: Bacterial small subunit ribosomal RNA
Source: RNAcentral
CAGUAGCCACGGUAAUACGAAGGGUGCAAGCGUUAAUCGGAAUUACUGGGCGUAAAGCGUGCGUAGGCGGUGAGGUAAGUCUGCUGUGAAAUCCCCGGGCUCAACCUGGGAAUGGCAGUGGAUACUGGCUCGCUAGAGUGUGUCAGAGGAUGGUGGAAUUCCCGGUGUAGCGGUGAAAUGCGUAGAGAUCGGGAGGAACAUCAGUGGCGAAGGCGGCCAUCUGGGACAACACUGACGCUGAGGCACGAAAGCGUGGGGAGCAAACAGGAUUAGAUACCCCAGUAGUCCCUGUCUCUUAUAC